GGCAGUUCUAGGGUGACACACCCAGGAACUGGGCUCCCUUCUCUCUGGUUCUGGGUGCAUCACCCAAGAACCGCA
Molecule: non-coding RNA, 75 nt
Organism: Myotis brandtii (Brandt's bat)
Lineage: Eukaryota; Metazoa; Chordata; Mammalia; Chiroptera; Vespertilionidae
Source: Rfam